CCUACGGGGGGCAGCAGUGGGGAAUAUUGGACAAUGGGCGAAAGCCUGAUCCAGCCAUGCCGCGUGUGUGAAGAAGGCCUUCGGGUUGUAAAGCACUUUCAGUGGGGAAGAAAGCCUUGGGGCUAAUACCCUCGAGGAAGUACAUCACCCACAGAAGAAGCACCGGCUAACUCCGUGCCAGCAGCCGCGGUAAUACGGAGGGUGCGGGCGUUAAUCGGAAUUACUGGGCGUAAAGCGCGCGUAGGCGGUCUGAUAAGCCGGUUGUGAAAGCCCCGGGCUCAACCUGGGAACGGCAUCCGGAACUGUCAGGCUAGAGUGCAGGAGAGGAAGGUAGAAUUCCCGGUGUAGCGGUGAAAUGCGUAGAGAUCGGGAGGAAUACCAGUGGCGAAGGCGGCCUUCUGGACUGACACUGACGCUGAGGUGCGAAAGCGUGGGUAGCAAACAGGAUUAGAUACCCGAGUAGUC
Molecule: ribosomal RNA, 465 nt
Filed under: Vreelandella stevensii
Lineage: Bacteria; Pseudomonadati; Pseudomonadota; Gammaproteobacteria; Oceanospirillales; Halomonadaceae
Description: partial 16S ribosomal RNA
Rfam family: Bacterial small subunit ribosomal RNA
Source: RNAcentral